Molecule: non-coding RNA, 2502 nt
Organism: Lepisosteus oculatus (spotted gar)
Lineage: Eukaryota; Metazoa; Chordata; Actinopteri; Semionotiformes; Lepisosteidae
Source: RefSeq, a predicted model, not a curated record
GCCAUAUCAGCCUCCUGACCUCUAGGCGGCGCUGGGUGAUCAAGGAUUGAGUAGGAGCCGUGUGAAGACAGAGGGGGCGGGAAGCGCAGGCCGCCAUGGAAGGAAAGCGGAAACCGUCCCUCGCUGCGCGGGAAGGACUGGUUCACCUCUCUCGCCUCCGGGCCGUGUUAACCGCUGUGUUCACGGAGAAUUCACGAGUUUAAUAAGACAGAUUUCAUCACUGCGUGUCUCCUCCGACUCUGCAAACCAGCCGCCGGGUGCGGCGCGCGCCACCGUGCCCUGAGGAUGCUGCGACGCCUCCUGGUUGGCGGCCAUGGGUGGAGGCAGGCGGGAGUCUUCUCUGCAGCCGGCGCGUGGGAGGCGAGGAGGUGGGAGCAGAUGACGACACGAAGAGUCUACUUUUCCCGGGCCUUAUCUGCAAAAGGGGAACAAUGCAGUGGGAAAAUAACUCAGUCCGAAUCCUGGAUGCGUAAUCCAUCCCAGACCGCUCCCAAGCAAAUUCUGGUGGCAGCCACUCCAUUCUGGCUUAAUCAAAUCAAGCCCAUUUCUCUGAAGCACAGUGGGAGAACUCCAGAGCCUGCGCAGCUUGGGGCUCUUCCAGGGAUGAAUGAUAACCAUAAACACGAAGAGGAAACAACAUUGCAGAAGAUAGUGUGGGGAUUUGAAGGCAGCGAUGCGCUGGAAUGCAGUCACUGGAGAAAUUUGUCCUGGCGAGGGAACUGGCACUCUGAUCAAAGCCCCCCCUGCACAGGGUAUUUUAAAAGAUUGUCUUCUGCCGAUUAAUCCUCCCACCAGUCUUCUGUAUGUGAGUCAAAAAGUUGUUUUUUAAAAUAAAACCAGGUUUAAUCUCAUUAAAGUGUUUGGUAAAAGGUAUCUGCCAAUGGGAUUUCCUUAAACCUGCUUUGAAACUUUAUACCUCAAAAUGUUUAAUUUUGUGACAUUUGGUGGUUUCACAUGGUAGUUAGUGGUUUCAGACCUGGAGCUUUAGACAGGGUUAAUGCAAGUAAGCAGGUUUGCAGCAGAGGAGGGAGGAGGGCGUGACAGAAUUUGGAGGCCACGUGGGGUAGCCAAUCGCAGAGAGGGCUGGGAUUUCGGUCAUCCCCUCUAAAAUCCGAGACGCUGGAACUAUUUCUGUGGACGGCUGCUGUGCUGUGUGGUUCCUGCUUUUCCUCGGGGGCGCUGCUCUCUCGUCGUUGGUAUGGAUAUAAGGCGGUCCAGCAUGGUGACGUUGCGCUCACUCUGGACACUUGGGAAUGGGACCAAAGUUUAAAACGGAAACAUGCAAACGUGUGGAUAUUUAUUUGGGUCCCGUUGUCAGUGCUGGAUGUUGCCGUUCCCUUUGGUAUUGAAGGAUAUAUAAAAGGAGGAAGGCUCUUGUUUCAUGGCAGUGAACUUUUCCUCGCUGUCCUCCUGCUUCCCAAAUCCCCACAGACCCAACGUUUAAGGCACAGUGCGUUCUCUUCAGCACUAGACAUGUUGGUCCAGAGGAAAUUAAGGUUUUCAUUUUAACGUUGGGGGAGAUUUCUGCACGAACUGUAGUUGAAUGUCCUCAAGGUAACUAAGAGAGGUGGUGGUGGGGGGGCACCUAAUGGAAAAGAUGAGGCGUGCUCAUUUGCUAGGGGAAAUUGAUCAGGAAUAGUGAUUUCCUGAUGGAUUCUGGAGUUGGAAAUAUGGUGUGGUCUUAGUCUUAAUGCCCUGGGAGAAAGUGAUCUCCCUGUGCUGAUCUUUUAAUGGAGGGAGAUUUUUGCUGGAUGCCACAGUGGAAUCUCCUAGGUGCCUCCUCCACUUCUGUGAUGUGUUGUUCUCUUUGCUGUACACAGUGUUUGUGGUCUGCCAACCCCUGAAGAAAACUGACAAUAAGCAAUGUUUUCUUACAAAGAACAUACAGUGGGACUCUGAACCAGGCAUUGCUUUUUUAGACAAUAAAAAUUAAACUUGAUUAAAGUUCAGAAACAUAGGAGAAGCCACCCAGGCUUAUUUUUUAUACUUGCGUCAGAUGCUUGUACUUACUGUACAGCAAAAUGUCAGUUUCAGUGAUGUGGGCUUUAAAAUGAAUAGAUUGCAACCACAAUUUACAGCAAACAGCAAGACUUUAUAUAGUUUAGUCAGCAGUGAAACAGAUGCUUAUUGAAUGAGCUGUUAUAAUGUACGCACUGCCGUGCAAACGUCUUAGACGAGACAUUUUGCAUUAAUUCUGAUCUUUUCAGUGAGUGUUUUCUUUUUCUGCAGGAACUCAAUUUAAUGUCGGUCUUCUGGAAUAUUACUUGUUUUGUUUUAAGCCUGCUAUUAAUCCUGACAGAUCUGUAUUUUGUAGUAAAAAAUGUAUCCCUUUAGCUUUCUGGCUGUGUAAAGAGGAACAGGUGAUGUUGAUGACGAGACGCUCCUGAUGAGUCAAUUAGACUUGAUGGGUAAAUGUGAUGGAUGAGCUGCUACAACACUUCAUAUUGCCUGCUCCUAUAUAGAUGACAUUGAGUUCGGAUCAAUGUGGAUUAAAUAUGCUAA